UGAUUUAUGCAUGCAUGAUUGGUUUUAUGACUUGUUUUAAUAUACCGUACUAUGAAAUGUUUUAUUUUGUAAUAUCUAUUAUUUUUUUUAAAAUGAUGCAUCAACAUGAAAAAAUUUAUGCUUGAUCCGGUAAAGUAGUGUAAGAUUUACUUACUGAGUUGUGUCACUCACAUAUCUUUAUUUUUAUUUUUCUGUCCCUAGACAAAUAGGGUCAGUAAGAACGAAGGAUGGUUCGGCAUGAAAAUCGUGCUAGCAAGCUUGGCGAUUUGUAGCAGAACAUUAAUUCUUUAGUGAUUAUGAAUAUGUAGCUUAGUAUAUUGAAGAUUAUAGGUUUGG
Molecule: long non-coding RNA, 336 nt
Filed under: Phoenix dactylifera (date palm)
Lineage: Eukaryota; Viridiplantae; Streptophyta; Magnoliopsida; Arecales; Arecaceae
Description: long non-coding RNA (PDAC_LNC021526)
Source: RNAcentral